RNAcentral lists this ribosomal RNA (253 nucleotides) under uncultured bacterium. RNAcentral's name for it is "partial 16S ribosomal RNA". It matches the Rfam family "Bacterial small subunit ribosomal RNA", at positions 524 to 776 of the family's 1533-position model. The record is from RNAcentral.
UACGAAGGGGGCUAGCGUUGCUCGGAAUCACUGGGCGUAAAGGGUGCGUAGGCGGGUCUUUAAGUCAGGGGUGAAAUCCUGGAGUUCAACUCCAGAACUGCCUUUGAUACUGAGGAUCUUGAGUACGGGAGAGGUGAGUGGAACUGCGAGUGUAGAGGUGAAAUUCGUAGAUAUUCGCAAGAACACCAGUGGCGAAGGCGGCUCACUGGCCCGUAACUGACGCUGAGGCACGAAAGCGUGGGGAGCAAACAGG